Molecule: transfer RNA, 68 nt
Filed under: Eclysippe vanelli
Lineage: Eukaryota; Metazoa; Annelida; Polychaeta; Terebellida; Ampharetidae
Description: tRNA-His
Source: RNAcentral
GAGUAAAUAGUUUAAACAAAAUUUUGGUUUGUGGGCUCAGAGAUGUAAUUGAUAAGUUACUUUAUUCC